Long non-coding RNA from Papaver somniferum (opium poppy), 1123 nucleotides. RefSeq lists it as uncharacterized. The record is from RefSeq and is a predicted model, not a curated record. The transcript is spliced from 8 exons. Lineage: Eukaryota; Viridiplantae; Streptophyta; Magnoliopsida; Ranunculales; Papaveraceae.
UAAUUUUCUAUAUUUCGUUUCUCCUCUCCUUCUCCUCUCGAGAGCUAGAAACCCCAGCUGUUGUUAGAGAUCGGUCAUUGAUUUAACUAUGGGAUUGGGGUUUUUCUUUAUUCAAUAGAUUUUUCUCCUCCUAUUCAAAGAAUUUGGGGUUUUCUUGAUUCCCUUUUCUGAGAUUGAAGAAGAAGUUGAAUCUGUUGUAGGUCUUGGAGGAAAAGAAAUAUAAUCUUGUUACUACGAUUGCAUAUGAACAGGUACUUCUUGCAUUAGGGGUUGCUUCAUGACAGAGCUGGAGAAGUUAGGUCAGAAGUAACGAGUAGCUUUGAGGAUUGCAAAGGAUCUCCGUUUUGAGAGACUCCCAUGUUCCCACGAAGGAACUUAUGUUGGUGAUUGUAUAGUUGAUAGAGUUACGUAGCCAGCUCUCAUAUGCAACACAGUCACACCAAUAUGUAGGUUUGAAAAUUAAUCCCUUGUUGUGGUCCACCGAAGGAAAUCUUUCGCAGCAUAGUGCUAGCAAGUAGCAAAUUUAGUUUACAUCUCUACUUCUGGCACAAGUGCUAUAUCGUUGCAACAUGUGACUGAGAUUUGAAGCGGAGAAUACGCAAGGUUCCUGGUGUUCCAAUUAUGUACAUCACUAUCCAUGACCAUAAGUUCUAAGUACUCGGUUGAGGGACUACCUGAAGCAACCCUUGGUGGAGCUCCACGAUAUUGAUGACUUGGGAUGAUUUCUCAUUAGCAAAGAAAGUGUUCAAAAAUUCACGUACAAGAUAGAAUAUCUUCUGCCGGGGUUUCUAAAACUCAAUUUCUUGCUACUGCAUAUGUUGAUAGCGCAAAGCCACCAAAUGAUGAGAAUUAUAACUGCAAUUGAAGAAAUUAUUGGGGUAAGUGAUAUGUUAUGCGAUAGAGAUGGAGCACUUGGAAGAGCUUAUGUUUCAAGAGGUGAGAUGAUUAAGUGGCCAAAAGAUCACGCAACUCCUGUAGGAGAGCGAGCAAUUAGUGGGGCAAGGUUAUAACAGAUUGAAUUCUGAAUUCAGUUUUAGCAAGAACUUAUCUUGUGAUUUUGUAUACAGCGAUUUGAUUUUCUUGAAUGGUAUUUUGGGUAAAUAAUAUAAAUUUAGUUUCACGA